RNAcentral lists this ribosomal RNA (105 nucleotides) under Pteropus alecto (black flying fox). Lineage: Eukaryota; Metazoa; Chordata; Mammalia; Chiroptera; Pteropodidae. The record is from RNAcentral.
AUCUAUGGUCACGCCACCCUGAAUGCGCCCGAUCUCAUCUGAUCCCAGAAGUUAAUCAAGGUCGGACCUGGUUAGACCACCUAGGAAUAACAGGAGCUGUAUGCG